RNAcentral lists this unclassified non-coding RNA (507 nucleotides) under uncultured Entrophospora. Its description in RNAcentral is "SSU rRNA". It matches the Rfam family "Eukaryotic small subunit ribosomal RNA", at positions 591 to 1092 of the family's 1831-position model. The record is from RNAcentral. Lineage: Eukaryota; Fungi; Glomeromycota; Glomeromycetes; Entrophosporales; Entrophosporaceae.
CCAAUAGCGUAUAUUAAAGUUGUUGCAGUUAAAAAGCUCGUAGUUGAAUUUCGGGAUUGGCGCAUCGGUCGUGCCUUACGGGGUAUGAACUGGUGCAGUCAAUUUCUCACCUUCUGGAGAACCGCGAUGUCCUUAAUUGGGUGCCGCGGGGAACCAGGACCUUUACUUUGAAAAAAUUAGAGUGUUUAAAGCAGGCAUUUUUGCUUGAAUACAUUAGCAUGGAAUAAUAAAAUAGGACGGCAUGGUUCUAUUUUGUUGGUUUCUAUGACCACCGUAAUGAUUAAUAGGGAUAGUUGGGGGAAUUAGUAUUCAAUUGUCAGAGGUGAAAUGCUUGGAUUUAUUGAAGACUAACUACUGCGAAAGCAUUGGCCAAGGAUGUUUUCAUUAAUCAAGAACGAAAGUUAGGGGAUCGAAGACGAUCAGAUACCGUCGUAGUCUUAACCAUAAACUAUGCCGACUAGGGAUCGGAUGAUGUUAAUUUUUUAAUGACUCAUUCGGCGCCUUACG